GUAGCUUAUUGAUUUAAAAGCAAACUCAUAAUCCCUUGGUCGCUGGUUCGAGUCCAGCUGGGCCCACCA
RNAcentral lists this transfer RNA (69 nucleotides) under Halomonas campaniensis. RNAcentral's name for it is "tRNA-OTHER". Lineage: Bacteria; Pseudomonadati; Pseudomonadota; Gammaproteobacteria; Oceanospirillales; Halomonadaceae. The record is from RNAcentral.